This 440-nucleotide ribosomal RNA is filed under the name uncultured bacterium. RNAcentral describes it as "partial 16S ribosomal RNA". It matches the Rfam family "Bacterial small subunit ribosomal RNA", at positions 338 to 795 of the family's 1533-position model. The record is from RNAcentral.
CCUACGGGAGGCUGCAGUGGGGGAUAUUGCACAAUGGGGGGAACCCUGAUGCAGCGACGCCGCGUGGGUGAAGAAGCGCCUCGGCGCGUAAAGCCCUGUCAGCAGGGAAGAAAAUGACGGUACUUGAAGAAGAAGCCCCGGCUAACUACGUGCCAGCAGCCGCGGCAAUACGUAGGGGGCAAGCGUUAUCCGGAUUUACUGGGUGUAAAGGGGGCGCAGACGGCGAUGCAAGCCAGGAGUGAAAGCCCGGGGCCCAACCCCGGGACUGCUCUUGGAACUGCGUGGCUGGAGUGCAGGAGGGGCAGGCGGAAUUCCUGGUGUAGCGGUGAAAUGCGUAGAUAUCACGCAGAACCCCGAUUGCGAAGGCAGCUUACUAGACUGCCACUGACAUUGAUGCUCGAAAGUGUGGGUAUCAAACAGGAGUAGAUACCCUAGUAGUC